GACGAACGCUGGCGGCGUGCUUAACACAUGCAAGUCGAACGGAAAGGCCCUGCUUUUGUGGGGUGCUCGAGUGGCGAACGGGUGAGUAACACGUGAGUAACCUGCCCUUGACUUUGGGAUAACUUCAGGAAACUGGGGCUAAUACCGGAUAGGAGCUCCUGCUGCAUGGUGGGGGUUGGAAAGUUUCGGCGGUUGGGGAUGGACUCGCAGCUUAUCAGCUUGUUGGUGGGGUAGUGUCUUACCAAGGUUUUGACGGGUAGCCGGCCUGAGAGGUGUACCGGCCACAAUGGGACUGAGGUAGGGACCAGACUCCUACGGGAGGCAGCAGUGGGGAAUAUUGCACAGUGAGCGGACGCCUGAUGCAGCAACGCCGCGUGCGGGAUGACGGCCUUCGGGUUGUAAACCGCUUUCGCCUGUGACGAAGCGUGAGUGACGGUAAUGGGUAAAGAAGCACCGGCUAACUACGUG
RNAcentral lists this ribosomal RNA (468 nucleotides) under uncultured bacterium. Its description in RNAcentral is "partial 16S ribosomal RNA". It matches the Rfam family "Bacterial small subunit ribosomal RNA", at positions 28 to 507 of the family's 1533-position model. The record is from RNAcentral.